Sesamum indicum (sesame) is the source of this 1203-nucleotide non-coding RNA. The record is from RefSeq and is a predicted model, not a curated record. Lineage: Eukaryota; Viridiplantae; Streptophyta; Magnoliopsida; Lamiales; Pedaliaceae.
AUGCACUGCCCUCAGCUCUCUUUACCACUUUCUUCUUGAAAGAAGUUGUGAGUUGUUGGGAUAGUGAUAAAUAACGAGGCCAUUAUACAACUUGUUUCAUAAGCAACGGUUGCAAAAUGCAAUAAAAGGAAUUGCACAAAUUGGCAUUGGUAGAUUAGUUUACUAUCUCAUGUUUAAAGUUUGCUCGUUGUGAACUCGAUUGAGCUAUUUGUCUUAUGAAGGUCUAUUGUAUGAUUUAGUGGAAAAGUGAUGUGGGUUAUGUCCUAGCUAUGGUAUUACGGACGACGUUAGUAUUAUUCGUGAGCCGGCUGUUGGUAAAUGGUUUUUGAUGCUACUUCAAUGUUUUUGGUAAAUGUGGUUAAAUAUUAACGGCAGUGUCCACCUGGAUCUAUUGGUUUAUUGUAAUUUUGUCAAUGCAGGCAAAAUUGAUUUGACCAUGAACAUUAUUGAGCGUAAAAGUGGACGAAUUUAUGGAGGUGGUGGAAUAUCAAGUAGAUUACAAGAACGGAUUUCUAAAGAUGCAAUGGGGGAUAAGCUUAAGAGAAUUGGAACGCCAAAAAGAAAAUCCGAAGAAAAAGAACAAAAAGAGAAAGAAAAACAAAAAAAGAACAAAAAGAAAAAAAAAAGAAAAAGAGAUCAGUAUUCGGCAAAAAAAAAAAAAAGAGAUAGAAAAGCAAUCCCCACCGAGUUUUGAUAACGUCAGUGGUGGUGGGAAAUGUCGAGCUUUCUCCAUUGCUGGAAUCCCCUUUCGCAUUGGAGUAUCUCCCGAAUUUGAGUUUCUUGAUCCGAUUGCAUUUGUGGAGAUUAUUAAAUUACAAGUUUGAGAAGAAGGGGUGAAUGAUAUAUCCAUACAUAUCCUUGAUAAGACUGGUGAGCCAACUGUGGGGAAAUAAAGCCAGCAACAUUAGUCUUGCAACUUACCACCAAGAAAGGGCAGGUAUUUGGUACAUUUGAUCUUUGAUGUCUUAUGGAAUAUUUCAUUCUGUUGUAUGCAUUGGGUAACUAGCUCCAUAGAACUUUUUAUGUUGCUUUCUUUCCUUGUAGUUUAUUUUUUCUAAAAUACGAGACCAACUUCCCAUGCACUGCCCUCAGCUCUCUUUACCACUUUCUUCUUGAAAGAAGUUGUGAGUUGUUGGGAUAGUGAUAAAUAACGAGGCCAUUAUACAACUUGUUUCAUAAGCAACGGUUGCAAAAUGCAAGAAA